This 254-nucleotide ribosomal RNA is filed under the name uncultured bacterium. RNAcentral's name for it is "partial 16S ribosomal RNA". It matches the Rfam family "Bacterial small subunit ribosomal RNA", at positions 524 to 776 of the family's 1533-position model. The record is from RNAcentral.
UACGUAGGGACCAAGCGUUGUUCGGAUUUACUGGGCGUAAAGGGCGCGUAGGCGGCGCUGUAAGUCAGUUGUGAAAUCUCCGGGCUUAACUCGGAACGGUCAAGUGAUACUGCAGUGCUAGAGUGCGGAAGGGGCAAUCGGAAUUCUUGGUGUAGCGGUGAAAUGCGUAGAUAUCAAGAGGAACACCUGAGGUGAAGACGGGUUGCUGGGCCGACACUGACGCUGACAGCGCGAAAGCCAGGGGAGCAAACGGG